This 424-nucleotide ribosomal RNA is filed under the name Verrucomicrobiota bacterium. Its description in RNAcentral is "Verrucomicrobia bacterium partial 16S ribosomal RNA". It matches the Rfam family "Bacterial small subunit ribosomal RNA", at positions 355 to 776 of the family's 1533-position model. The record is from RNAcentral. Lineage: Bacteria; Pseudomonadati; Verrucomicrobiota.
UGAGGAAUAUUGGUCAAUGGGCGAGAGCCUGAACCAGCCAAGUAGCGUGCAGGAAGACGGCCCUAUGGGUUUUAAACUGCUUUUAUGUGGGGAUAAAGUGCGUGACGUGUCAUGCAUUGCAGGUACCACAUGAAUAAGGACCGGCUAAUUCCGUGCCAGCAGCCGCGGUAAUACGGAAGGUCCGGGCGUUAUCCGGAUUUAUUGGGUUUAAAGGGAGCGUAGGCUGUCUAUUAAGCGUGUUGUGAAAUAUACCGGCUCAACCGGUGGCUUGCAGCGCGAACUGGUCGACUUGAGUAUGCAGGAAGUAGGCGGAAUUCAUGGUGUAGCGGUGAAAUGCUUAGAUAUCAUGACGAACUCCGAUUGCGCAGGCAGCUUACUGUAGCAUAACUGACGCUGAUGCUCGAAAGUGCGGGUAUCAAACAGG